CAGCCGCCACGGUAAUACGUAGGUGGCAAGCGUUGUCCGGAUUUAUUGGGCGUAAAGCGAGCGCAGGCGGUUUCUUAAGUCUGAUGUGAAAGCCCCCGGCUCAACCGGGGAGGGUCAUUGGAAACUGGGGGACUUGAGUGCAGAAGAGGAGAGUGGAAUUCCAUGUGUAGCGGUGAAAUGCGUAGAUAUAUGGAGGAACACCAGUGGCGAAGGCGGCUCUCUGGUCUGUAACUGACGCUGAGGCUCGAAAGCGUGGGGAGCGAACAGGAUUAGAUACCCCAGUAGUCCCUGUCUCUUAUAC
This 301-nucleotide ribosomal RNA is filed under the name uncultured bacterium. RNAcentral's name for it is "partial 16S ribosomal RNA". It matches the Rfam family "Bacterial small subunit ribosomal RNA", at positions 509 to 807 of the family's 1533-position model. The record is from RNAcentral.